RNAcentral lists this ribosomal RNA (234 nucleotides) under uncultured bacterium. Its description in RNAcentral is "partial 16S ribosomal RNA". It matches the Rfam family "Bacterial small subunit ribosomal RNA", at positions 15 to 244 of the family's 1533-position model. The record is from RNAcentral.
GAUCAUGGCUCAGGACGAACGCUGGCGGCGCGCCUAACACAUGCAAGUCGAACGAGCGAGAGAGAGCUUGCUUUCUCGAGCGAGUGGCGAACGGGUGAGUAACGCGUGAGGAACCUGCCUCAAAGAGGGGGACAACAGUUGGAAACGACUGCUAAUACCGCAUAAGCCCACGGUGCCGCAUGGCACAGAGGGAAAAGGAGUAAUCCGCUUUGAGAUGGCCUCGCGUCCGAUUAG